ACUUUAUGGUGUGGGCAUUCAUGCAAAAAGUCCCUAAAGUGCUCCCAUGUCUCGAAAAAUUGCUCAUAAUCUAUUUGUGAGAAACUGUUGAUUGCCUUCCUAAGCU
Small nucleolar RNA from Malania oleifera, 106 nucleotides. Lineage: Eukaryota; Viridiplantae; Streptophyta; Magnoliopsida; Santalales; Ximeniaceae. The record is from RefSeq and is a predicted model, not a curated record.